AGGGAUGUGGCUCAGUUGUAGAGCAUUUGCUUAGCAUGUACAAAGCCCUGGGUUCAAUCCCCAGCAUCAUCA
Molecule: non-coding RNA, 72 nt
Organism: Ictidomys tridecemlineatus (thirteen-lined ground squirrel)
Lineage: Eukaryota; Metazoa; Chordata; Mammalia; Rodentia; Sciuridae
Source: Rfam